This 796-nucleotide ribosomal RNA is filed under the name uncultured bacterium. Its description in RNAcentral is "bacterial SSU rRNA". It matches the Rfam family "Bacterial small subunit ribosomal RNA", at positions 8 to 796 of the family's 1533-position model. The record is from RNAcentral.
AGAGUUUGAUCAUGGCUCAGAUUGAACGCUGGCGGCAUGCCUAACACAUGCAAGUCGAACGGCAGCGCGGGGAGCUUGCUCCCUGGCGGCGAGUGGCGGACGGGUGAGUAAUGCAUAGGAAUCUGCCCAGUAGCGGGGGACAACUCCAGGAAACCGGAGCUAAUACCGCAUACGCCCUACGGGGGAAAGCAGGGGAUCUUCGGACCUUGCACUAUUGGAUGAGCCUAUGUCUGAUUAGCUUGUUGGUAGGGUAAAAGCCUACCAAGGCGACGAUCAGUAGCUGGUCUGAGAGGAUGAUCAGCCACACUGGGACUGAGACACGGCCCAGACUCCUACGGGAGGCAGCAGUGGGGAAUAUUGGACAAUGGGGGCAACCCUGAUCCAGCAAUGCCGCGUGUGUGAAGAAGGCCUGCGGGUUGUAAAGCACUUUCAGUAGGGAGGAAAAGUUGCAGGUUAAUACCCUGUAAUCCUGACGUUACCUACAGAAGAAGCACCGGCUAACUCCGUGCCAGCAGCCGCGGUAAUACGGAGGGUGCGAGCGUUAAUCGGAAUUACUGGGCGUAAAGCGCGCGUAGGCGGCUUUGUAAGUCGGAUGUGAAAGCCCCGGGCUUAACCUGGGAAUUGCAUUCGAUACUGCAUGGCUGGAGUAUGGUAGAGGGUAGUGGAAUUCCUGGUGUAGCGGCGAAAUGCGUAGAUAUCAGGAGGAACAUCAGUGGCGAAGGCGGCUACCUGGACCAAUACUGACGCUGAGGUGCGAAAGCGUGGGGAGAAACAGGAUUAGAUACCCUAGUAGUCC